GCUGGGCAUGGUGGCUCGUGCCUGUAAUCCCAGCUACUCGGGAGACUGAGGCAGGAGAAUCGCUUGAACCCAGGAGGUGGAGGUUGCAGUGAGCCAAGAUCACACCACUGCACUCCAGCCUGGGUGACAGAGCGAGACUCUGUCUCAA
RNAcentral lists this non-coding RNA (148 nucleotides) under Pan troglodytes (chimpanzee). The record is from Rfam by way of RNAcentral. Lineage: Eukaryota; Metazoa; Chordata; Mammalia; Primates; Hominidae.